This 693-nucleotide ribosomal RNA is filed under the name uncultured archaeon. RNAcentral describes it as "bacterial SSU rRNA". It matches the Rfam family "Archaeal small subunit ribosomal RNA", at positions 19 to 697 of the family's 1478-position model. The record is from RNAcentral.
GGACCCGACUGCUAUUUGGGUGAGGAUAAGCCAUGCGAGUUGCAUGGGAUACCUAAAUUUCCCAUGGCAAACUGCUCAGUAACACAUGAUCAACUUGCCCUAUAGAGAAAAAUAACCUCGGGAAACUGAGGAUAAUGUUUCAUAGUUGAAAAGGCUUGGAAAAGUUUUUCAAUAAAAGGGGUAAGGAAAAUGGUACUUAUCUGCUAUAGGAUAGGAUCGUGUUCGAUUAUGGUUGUUGGUGAGGUAAUGGCUCACCAAGCCGAUAAUCGAUAGGGGCCGUGAGAGCGGAAGCCCCGAGAUGGGUACUGAGACAGCGACCCAGGCCUUACGAGGCGCAGCAGGCGCGAAACCUCCACAAUACACGAAAGUGUGAUGGGGUUACCCAAAGUGUUCUAUUAAGAACUGUGGUAGGUGAGUAAUGUUCCCUACUAGAAAGGAGAGGGCAAGGCUGGUGCCAGCCGCCGCGGUAAAACCAGCUCUUCAAGUGGUCGGGAUAAUUAUUGGGCUUAAAGUGUCCGUAGCCGGUUUAAUAAGUUCCUGGUAAAAUCGGGUAGCUUAACUAUCUGCAUGCUAGGAAUACUGCUAUACUAGAGGGCGGGAGAGGUCUGAGGUACUACAGGGGUAGGGGUGAAAUCUUAUAAUCCUUGUAGGACCACCAGUGGCGAAGGCGUCAGACUGGAACGCGCCUGACGG